GCGAUAGCUCGUUUCGCAAGGGUGGUCGGCUAGCCCCGUGAAAGGGGGUGAGGCCUUUUGACAGUUUUUGAAUCGAUGACAUUGAUGAUUUCAUUUGCUUGUCUGAUCAUCGCUGUCUUAACUUUUAACCAAAAUAAAUAGACCUCCCUUGACCGCAAAUUGAGGGAGAGGUCUA
This 175-nucleotide small RNA is filed under the name Bacillus methanolicus MGA3. Its description in RNAcentral is "SR4 RNA is the antitoxin of the bsrG/SR4 type I toxin antitoxin system". Lineage: Bacteria; Bacillati; Bacillota; Bacilli; Caryophanales; Bacillaceae. The record is from RNAcentral.